AUUAUAGAGAUUUCUACUUUACUGGCUCAGCUUAUGGUAAAUGAGCCUCUGAUGGAUGUGCUGUUAAACAGGAACUGCAGUUGUACUGCUCACACAGCCAGAAACAUCCGUUCUGAUUCUUGUUGUUUGUCACUCACACUCUUUCAGAAUUGCCAUGAUCAACAAUUCUCUUUUUUUUAUUUAUUUAUUUUUUCCUCAGACCUAAGCUUACCUCCUGUUUGUGGUCAGGACCCUAAUAACACAGAGAAUUCUGCAUAUCUGGGGCCACUGAAAUAAUGUAUAGGCAGAUUUUUGCAGAGAGAGCAAGACAGAAGGAAUUUGGGGAAGGAAAAAUGAAAAAAAAAGAAAAAAAAAAAAAGACAAACCUUUCAAUAUUCCAUUUCUACUUGUCAUCUUCAGCAUGGCAAGGCUAGGCUUGUAAGACUGUACGUGUAAUACCAAAUUCCUAUGCUAGGAAACAAAAAGCAUACUUUGGUACUGAGUUUAACUGGCACAAAAUAACUGUGCCAGUUCUGUUAAACUCUUUUGCCCUCUAAAACAGACUGGUGGAAUCCAAAUUGUCAGCUGGGAUGGAUUCCAAGGAGCAUGCCUGGGAACUGUCUGGGGGAGCCCCAGUUGGUGUCCACGUGGUAAUCACAAGUGUCAUCCUGACACUGGUGUAUCCAUCUCCUCUUCCGCAGCUCGUACCUAGCCAGGGUAGGACCUACACAGUAGGAUGCUGUGGUAGUAGCAAGUUACACAUACCCAAACAAAGAUGUGGCUUACAUGGAAAAGAAAAAGGCCUUUUUGCCUUUUUUAGAGAAGACAAUGAAGAAACAGACCCAGACUUCAAUUUUUUCCCUUGCCUGUGUGUCUGAGCCACCAAACCAAUGCACAAAAACACUAUUUCCAAAUCUCAAACUGUUUCCCUUGGAAAAUUGGUGGGUGGCUAAUUCACCGGACAUGGUUCUUAAAUUAUUGUAUGUACCAGAACUUUCUGCAUGUUCAUUUCUUACCUGUUUUACUACUUCAGCACAUGAAAAUAACAGGCUUUCAUGGCAUAUAAACUGCUGGUGGAAAUGUGAGUUUUUUGUCAUAUUUUGUGUGAGCAACUGUAAUUCUUAGGGUUGAGCUUGCAAGGUAAAACCUAUUCAGCAGCCUCAGCAGAAAAUUUUUCUGGUUGCUUCAGUGUUUUGGCACUUCUAAAUCAAGUCAGGAAUAAAUAAAAAUAAAAAUAAAAAUUAUAAUAAUAAAAAAAGAGUUAAGAAGGCUGUAGUUUCAUCCAAGCAAAUUCAGUUCAGUUCAGAGAAACUGUUUGCAGGUCAGUGGGUCGUAUCAAAGAAUGCUAUAGAAUAACUUAAUCUGGUGCUGUCUGUUAAGUUUAAGUUUAUAUAUCACAUUCAGGUCCCUGGCCAGAAGAGGAACUGUAAAACUUUGGCUUUCUGUUUAAGCUGUCCUGAUGUAUAUUACCCACAACAAAGUAUUCGUCCUUUUCCUAUACAACACUGCCUUGUUCUGUGUCAGGGACAGAAAUGUAGGAAUGUGGAUCCCAGCCAAGCUGGUAGGGAGAGAAUUCCCUCGACCUGGAGGACUCCAGCCCUCUCCAUGUCUGCAUCUUUUGUUCAGCAUGUUGGGCCAUUUGUAGUGCAUGCUCCUCCAUGCUGCACGCAGCUGCUAUUCCCCCUCCUGCAUCUGCAGUUCCCACAGGCGGCCUGGGUGGCCAUGCUGGGUUUGUGCAUUGUGGGGUAGCCAGGAUGUGGCUAAUGAGAGGGCAAAUGUGGGGAAGGCCAGGGCUUGGCUAUAUGUGCAUAAUAUCAAGUAAGUCAGUGUUCACAGGCUGGAAAUACCACAGUGUCUGAGCUAAGGGAAGCUCUUUGUUUGCUUUUGCUUGCAAUAGUGACUGAAUUGCUUAAGCCUAAUAGAAGACUCUUUUAUUUUAUGCUCUGUGAGGCUGAGCCAUCACAAAUCAAUUACAGAAAGCCUAUAGGAGAUCUCAUCUCUAGCUCCUCCCAGGAAGGGCAGCUGAGAAUGAUUCCCGAUGAAUAAACUCUAUAGUUCCCAAAGAGGGUUGAGUUCCUUGAGCUCUAAGUGUUUCCUUCUGUUUCAAACUCACUCAGAAAGAGAUGAGUCUCAGGUGAGGUAGUGGUGGUAGAAAAACAGGCAUUUUACACAUCUUCAUCAGUUGGAAGUUCCUGCCUGCCCCUCUGAUAUGCUCUGUAACCUUAGGAAACAUAUUCACACAGGAUCCUCCCAGAGGGUGAAGUCUUCUCUUGCGUGUUCAAAGCAGCAAAGCAGCAGGGCUCUGGACUCUUGUUCGACACAGAGAUGGCGUUUUACUUCAGAGUUCUCCUUGGAGGCUGAAUGCAACAAUUUCUGGGAAGUUUAGGGUUAAAGAAGAAAGCGCUCUGACAAGCAAUAUGUUGUGUGCUGCAGUGCUUGGUUUUAGUCCAAAGAGAGAAAAGUGGCAGAAGGGAGGUCCAACACAUUUAAUAUCCUAAGAGCUGAGAGAGAAGUAACAGUAAAGUUCAGACUGAAUAAUGCAGAUUCAAGAGAUGCUUCCAGUUGUAAAGGGUGGAGAAGUCGUGAUGCCUUCACCUCUUUAGAUAUUUGCAAGCGCAGAAUUCUCACAGACUUCGAGACGCGACAUUGAUGAGAGCAUGCUGUCUCUUGCCUAAACAAUUUCAAUUGAUUUUAUUAAGAAAAAGAAAUCUUGGAAUAGCAUCUGCUUUAAAAGACAAUAUCUCUCUUUCUUAUUCUGACAUAAUAAGUGCUGACAGAAAAGAGAACAGAAGUGUAUCUUCUGUGAGAUGUCUCAAGUAUCUGACAGCUGCAUUCAGUGCUGCAUCUGGGCUGGAAUUCUCAAGAGUGCAAAGGCACAGGUAGUCAAAUUCUGAGCAAGUUGGGGCCUUUGUUCUGGGGGUGUUCUGAAGCUUAGACUUACUCCUUGCUGCAAGAAAUAUUCUUUGCUGCAUGGUAAUCCUCACCAAACAAAAAAGUAAUGUUACCUAGGGCAGGAGUCCUCCGAAGUAUAGUAGAUCAAAGAUAGGAUAACAUGCACAAGAUAGCCUUGCUAAUAAAGUUUAUGAAAUUCCUGCUGCUUUACUCAGAGAAGACAAUCAACAAACAGUUUAAUGGAAACACACCCUAUGGUGAGUGGUGUCAUGGCCAUGGAAAGAGAGGUAUCAAUCCCAUGUGGUCCCUAAGGGCUAUGCCAAAUGGAGGGAAAGAUGCCCAAGGCUACUUCUGCUUCUUAGGAAGAAGUAUCACUGGUUCUUUUAGUAGCAAGAAUGCUGCAGGAAGGUCAAAGACAAGGUUUACUGUCUUGGAAGCUAACAAUGAGCAAACUGGCUGUAUGUCAACCUACUGGGACAACUAGUAUGUUAGGAAUGAAUAUAUGUGCUCCCGGCAAAGGAAUAUCUAACAACAUAAAAGAUGAAUGCUGUGCUGAUUGUGAUAUGGUCUUCAAGAAUCUUGCAAAGUGUGAUAUCAAAAUAGUGGUGGAUGGCUGUGGUGCCAAAGUAGAAAAGGAAGAUGUGGGAGACAAUGGAAAGGAUCUGAUGUCUAUAAUGUAACAAUUAACAAUGACAUGAGAUUAAUUGAUUUUGUAACAAUUAAGGAUGGACUUGAAUAGCACAGAAACUUUCUUUAAAAUGUUAUCAGGCAUACAUGUCUAUCUACAGAGGUAGUUUCUAGUAAUCAUAUUGUAAAUUUUUUCUCAAGGCAAAAACUGGAAGUCUAAGAAUUGAUCAUAGAGUGAUAGCACAAACAUGAUGAGAAAAUUCAAUAGACCACUUACAGAUAAAACACAGCAUCCUGGAAGUAUAUGAAAAACAGGCUGGAAAAGGUAGCAGUUAUAAAUAGACUUCAGAAGAAAUCAUGGCAGACUGAAUCAAAGAAGAUAAUUCAGGAGAAUUCCAAGUAUGAGAAACAAAGGAUCAUUUAACAGUAUAUGGGAAAGUAAUUGGAAACUGACAUGCAAAGCGAGAACGCAAAUUCCAAGUUGGUCUCAUGCUAAGUGUGAUAAAACCAAAAAAAAGGACCUGAAGUACUUAGGUCCAGUAGGACUAUGCAGAGUAAAAUGCAUAUAAUGUAGGAGUAUUUUAUGAGAGCUACAACACUUGGAGAAAAGAUCAGCCGUGAGUGUGAAAAAGGACAGUGCAAGAAUGCAGUACUGGACAGAGGGAGGGAGUUCUUUAAUGACUUUCUUAGUACAGAUAGCUUAGCUGUUUGUAGAAGAGAAAAGUUUAAGAGGUUUAAGAGGCAGUUGGAAUUCUCGGAAACAACAAGGAAAAAAAGGUUGGAAAUGUUAGAACUGAAUUACUGAAAUCAGAGAGAUGGUGGAAAGGACUUUGUGGGAUGGUGGGAUAAGAUAGCUUAAAGACUAUUUAAAAUGACUUUGUUGAAUUGAAAAUAGUUCCUCCAGCAUUUUUUAUAAAGUGUUAGAAUAGAUUAUAAGAAGGAUCACAAAACUUCCUGCACAGUACAGUUUAUUAAUUCCUGUUUGUGACAUUUUAUACACCCAUCCGUUACACAAAGGAGAUAACAAAUGAAUAGCAAUGUGGUUUCUGGAAAAUAAGAGUCGGAGUAGACAGAAAGAUUGACUCCUUCGUGUCUCCUUAAGGUGUCCUGGGAGUCAUGGUACAAUUAUAAAAUUUGCAAGAGGGACUGAAAUUAGAUGAUUGUCACCAGUCCUUCUGAUGUUACUAAUGGUUUUAGUGGCUGCAAAAGUAAGACAAUUCCUUCCACUGUUGUUUGAGGCUGGGCAAUCAAAAAUAAGUGAAAUAGAAACAGUAAAUUGAAAUAAUGUUUUUAAUACACAUGAUCAGCUAUGCAAAAAUAUGCUAUGACAAGAGUUUGGGGCAAAUUGAGAGAAUCUGUGAAUCAUUAUGAUCUCUAAAACCAUUAAAGAAGGAAGGAAACAAGUAUGUGGAAAUGAAAUGGACCACCAGCAGAGAUUCAUGUUCUGCAGGCAUAGCCACAUGCAACCAAAACCAGCCCUAUAACAGGCAAGUACAUUGCGAUUAUGGUCUGCCAAAUGGUGAGCAAGCCAAAUUGUAAGCCAUAUUACCAUUUACAUUGCUCCUGAGUUUAUUCAUCUAGUUUUUAUAAUAAACAAAAAUUGAGUCUCAUACUCUAAGAGGUUCUACUUUGGUUUGAAUAUAUUCCUUGAGUCCAAAAAGAUGUGGGGAAAGUUAAGGUGUUGCUGAUACAAGUGUGUUUGAGGUGAAUGUGAGAUGGAUUUUAGGUGCUCAUAAUGCAGAGUGUGCUGCUGCUCUGGCCACAAUAUUGGAAGUAUUAAGAAAAAAAAAAAAAAAAAAAAAAAAGUAGUUUAUUGUUCAUUUGAAACAUGCUGCAGAUGCUGUGCAAGGAGCUAAUCUGCCCAGAAUUAUCAAGCAGGCUUAGAUUUCAGGAUAGACUUAAUUGCUAUUAUGAAAGAAAUAUCUUUCCCACUUAUUUUCUGGAGACUGUAUCUUACUGUCUAAGUAUUUGCAAAUGCACAUAUUGCUGCCCUGAAAUACACCGUAGUGCAUUCCUCCAGGCUCUUUUAUUUAAAACAUUGGCCCUGGAGCUGAAUAAUACCUUUGUAGCAAUUUGAGCUAUUACAGUAGUGCACAUUGGAAAUUGUAUUUUUCCUAAUACAAAAAGGCAACAAAGACACAUUCCUAAAUCAGGGCAAACAGCUGUUCUUUUGCUGUUAUUGUUUGUUUAUUUUUCUGUGGUUUUGUUUGUUUUCCCUUUAAGAUCACAUUUAAAUUUUGGCUGUUCAUGCUUGAGAGUUCUUCUUGAUGUAUCUAAAGCAGGCGUAUGGAAGCUGUCCUUGUCCACUCAGGUGCUGUUAACCACAGUUGAGGAUGUGUUUUCACAGGACCAUGAAGAAAGCAUUACAUCUGGACUUGGAAAUCUACAACAGGGUUUUUCUUUCCUCUAAGCGAUUGUAUAACAGAAUUAUUUUUAACUAGUAGUUUGUCUUCUAUCUACAAUUGAAAAUAGAAAUAAAAACUAUGCUAGGGAUUUCUGGGAAGUCCGUGGCACAGAGAACAGAAAUUAUUUUACAAAUAUCUUCCAGAUUUGAAGACAGAGUAGAGCAAAUGAGACCAUACAAGCUGACCUGAAUUUGAAGCUAAAUCUAUAUUUUAAGAAUACCAAAACAACCAGGGGUGAGUCACUGGGUAGGCAAAAGUAACCACAACGUUUGUGCACAGUCUAUACAGUGAGCUUGACAGGGUUUCCAAAACCUUUAAUUUCUGUUGGUUUAGAGGAACUAAACACAACCUUUAAACAAAAUGCUGUGUUUUUACAAAGUCUGUGCUUUGCAGAAAUGAGAAGGAUACUGAAAGCAUUAACCCUUCAGUGCUGUAAUCACAACAAAGUUUGAGCAUCUGUGAGAUACUACCUAGACUGUUAUCUUGAAUAAAUCACUACAAUUUGUGCAACUUUUCUCACCUAAUGAGAACACAUAAUGCCAACUUUGCAGGUACUUAUUAAAAUGAAUGAAUCCAUGUCAGUAAACAAAAAAUUCUGCCA
Oxyura jamaicensis (ruddy duck) is the source of this 6504-nucleotide long non-coding RNA. RefSeq lists it as uncharacterized. The record is from RefSeq and is a predicted model, not a curated record. The transcript has 5 exons. Lineage: Eukaryota; Metazoa; Chordata; Aves; Anseriformes; Anatidae.